Molecule: transfer RNA, 71 nt
Filed under: Vespa affinis (lesser banded hornet)
Lineage: Eukaryota; Metazoa; Arthropoda; Insecta; Hymenoptera; Vespidae
Description: tRNA-Phe
Source: RNAcentral
AUUUAAAUAGCUUAAGAUAAAGGAAGAGUUUAAUAUUGAAGAUAUUAAGGUAACAGAAAUGUUUUUAAAUA